GCUGGCGUAGCUUAAUUAAAGCA
This 23-nucleotide transfer RNA is filed under the name Salvelinus malma malma. RNAcentral's name for it is "partial tRNA-Phe". Lineage: Eukaryota; Metazoa; Chordata; Actinopteri; Salmoniformes; Salmonidae. The record is from RNAcentral.